This 393-nucleotide long non-coding RNA is filed under the name Mytilus galloprovincialis (Mediterranean mussel). Lineage: Eukaryota; Metazoa; Mollusca; Bivalvia; Mytilida; Mytilidae. The record is from RNAcentral.
UUGGUGUGAAUGGCAUGAACAAGGCAAUCCUUGCAUCAAUAACAAAUUGAUCAAAAUCAAAGUGUUUGGGGUCAUAAUCUGGAAUGCUCCGUUGAACGAAAUUUAAUUUGCUUCUUCACCUUUCGUGUCCAAAUCUUUCGUCUUUGUUGGUCUUUCGGAAAUGUAAACAAACAUAAUCCCUGACCUGAUCAAGUAUUACAGUUGUAUGCAACACAAAACACCAUAGCCGGUUAACGUUGUUUACAAUUUUACGUUCUAACACAUGUAUUCGAUACCAAUGUAACAAAGGACUCAUAUGACGUCACAGCGAGAAGGAAAUAAAGGGAGAUAAACAAGGUUGGUAUUUCCCGUAUUUUUCGACACCAAUAUUUACCUGUUAUUUUUAGUACCAAC